AAGAUCAAAAACUCAGGUGACAGCAG
This 26-nucleotide non-coding RNA is filed under the name Drosophila melanogaster (fruit fly). The record is from RNAcentral. Lineage: Eukaryota; Metazoa; Arthropoda; Insecta; Diptera; Drosophilidae. RNAcentral also lists the same sequence under 2 other names.